AUGAACGCUGGCGGCGUGCCUAAUACCUGCCAGUCGAGCGAACGGACGAGAAGCUUGCUUCUCUGAUGUUAGCGGCGGACGGGUGAGUAACACGUGGAUAACCUACCUAUAAGACUGGGAUAGCUUCGGGAAACCGGAGCUAAUACCGGAUAAUAUUUUGAACCGCAUGGUUCAAAAGUGAAAGACGGUCUUGCUGUCACUUAUAGAUGGAUCCGCGCUGCAUUAGCUAGUUGGUAAGGUAACGGCUUACCAAGGCAACGAUGCAUAGCCGACCUGAGAGGGUGAUCGGCCACACUGGAACUGAGACACGGUCCAGACUCCUACGGGAGGCAGCAGUAGGGAAUCUUCCGCAAUGGGCGAAAGCCUGACGGAGCAACGCCGCGUGAGUGAUGAAGGUCUUCGGAUCGUAAAACUCUGUUAUUAGGGAAGAACAUAUGUGUAAGUAACUGUGCACAUCUUGACGGUACCUAAUCAGAAAGCCACGGCUAACUACGUG
RNAcentral lists this ribosomal RNA (496 nucleotides) under uncultured bacterium. RNAcentral describes it as "partial 16S ribosomal RNA". It matches the Rfam family "Bacterial small subunit ribosomal RNA", at positions 29 to 507 of the family's 1533-position model. The record is from RNAcentral.